GGCGGCGUCAAAGGUGAAGCAGGACAUGCCCCCGCCGGGGGGCUAUGGGCCCAUCGACUACAAACGGAACUUGCCGCGUCGAGGACUGUCGGGCUACAGCAUGCUGGCCCUAGGGAUUGGAACCCUGAUCUAUGGGCACUGGAGCAUGAUGAAGUGGAACCGUGAGCGCAGGCGCCUACAAAUCGAGGACUUCGAGGCCCGCAUCGCGCUGUUGCCACUGUUACAGGCAGAAACCGACCGGAGGUAGCACUGCAGGGCCUGACCUGCAUCCCCGAAGGUGGCCAGAAUGCACAUGGGGGCUAUCGCCAUGUGCCAUCAGCUGCAUCCUCAGAGAGGCGUGGAGACUUAGUGGAGACCCAAGGGGGUGAAUCGGAAGGCUUCCUGGAGGAGGAGGCAGCACUGGGGUUGGGGCAAGAGAAAAGCUAGGAGUUGGCUGGGGGAAAGGGAGACAGGGUCGGAGGGAGGCUUGAAGGGGUGCUACCAGGGGCCCUAGGCAGGGAUUCCUCAGGGCACUGAGGCCCCACCCCCACCAUCGGCCCCAUCCGCACAGGA
Molecule: small RNA, 552 nt
Filed under: Pongo abelii (Sumatran orangutan)
Lineage: Eukaryota; Metazoa; Chordata; Mammalia; Primates; Hominidae
Description: retained intron
Source: RNAcentral